This 253-nucleotide ribosomal RNA is filed under the name uncultured bacterium. Its description in RNAcentral is "partial 16S ribosomal RNA". It matches the Rfam family "Bacterial small subunit ribosomal RNA", at positions 524 to 776 of the family's 1533-position model. The record is from RNAcentral.
UACGUAGGGGGCUAGCGUUGUCCGGAAUCAUUGGGCGUAAAGCGCGCGUAGGCGGCCCGGUAAGUCCGCUGUGAAAGUCAAAGGCUCAACCUUUGAAUGUCAGCGGAUACUGCCGGGCUAGAGUCCGGAAGAGGCGAGUGGAAUUCCUGGUGUAGCGGUGGAAUGCGCAGAUAUCAGGAGGAACACCAACGGCGAAGGCAGCUCGCUGGGACGGUACUGACGCUGAGGCGCGAAAGCGUGGGGAGCAAACGGG